This 365-nucleotide ribosomal RNA is filed under the name uncultured soil bacterium. Its description in RNAcentral is "bacterial SSU rRNA". It matches the Rfam family "Bacterial small subunit ribosomal RNA", at positions 8 to 352 of the family's 1533-position model. The record is from RNAcentral.
AGAGUUUGAUCCUGGCUCAGAACGAACGCUGGCGGCGUGGAUAAGACAUGCAAGUCGAGCGCUAAUUUAAGGGUAGCAAUAUUCUUAAGUUGGAGCGGCGCAAGGGUGCGUAACACGUGGGUAAUUUGCCGUGAAGUUGGGGAUAACUUGCUGAAAGGCGAGCUAAUACCGAAUGUGACGUUUAGAAGGCAUCUUCUGAACUUCAAAGUUGGGGACCGUAAGGCCUGACGCUUCACGAUAAGCCCGCGGCCUAUCAGCUAGUUGGUGAGGUAACGGCUCACCAAGGCUAAGACGGGUAGCUGGUCUGAGAGGACGACCAGCCACACUGGAACUGAGACACGGUCCAGACUCCUACGGGAGGCAGC